This 468-nucleotide ribosomal RNA is filed under the name uncultured bacterium. Its description in RNAcentral is "partial 16S ribosomal RNA". It matches the Rfam family "Bacterial small subunit ribosomal RNA", at positions 28 to 507 of the family's 1533-position model. The record is from RNAcentral.
GACGAACGCUGGCGGCGUGCUUAACACAUGCAAGUCGAACGGAAAGGCCCUGCUUUUGUGGGGUGCUCGAGUGGCGAACGGGUGAGUAACACGUGAGUAACCUGCCCUUGAUUUUGGGAUAACUUCAGGAAACUGGGGCUAAUACCGGAUAGGAGCUCCUGCUGCUUGGUGGGGGUUGGAAAGUUUCGGCGGUUGGGGAUGGACUCGCGGCUUAUCAGCUUGUUGGUGGGGUAGUGGCUUACCAAGGCUUUGACGGGUAGCCGGCCUGAGAGGGUGACCGGCCACAUUGGGACUGAGAUACGGCCCAGACUCCUACGGGAGGCAGCAGUGGGGAAUAUUGCACAAUGGGCGGAAGCCUGAUGCAGCAACGCCGCGUGCGGGAUGACGGCCUUCGGGUUGUAAACCGCUUUCGCCUGUGACGAAGCGUGAGUGACGGUAAUGGGUAAAGAAGCACCGGCUAACUACGUG